AUACGGAGGGUGCAAGCGUUAAUCGGAAUUACUGGGCGUAAAGCGCUCGUAGGCGGCUUGUUAAGUCGGAUGUGAAAGCCCCGGGCUCAACCUGGGAACUGCAUUCGAUACUGGCAAGCUAGAGUAUAGUAGAGGCAAGUGGAAUUCCGGGUGUAGCGGUGAAAUGCGUAGAUAUCCGGAGGAACAUCAGUGGCGAAGGCGACUUGCUGGACUAAUACUGACGCUGAGGCGCGAAAGCGUGGGGAGCAAACAGGAUUAGAAACCCCGGUAGUCC
RNAcentral lists this ribosomal RNA (274 nucleotides) under uncultured bacterium. RNAcentral's name for it is "partial 16S ribosomal RNA". It matches the Rfam family "Bacterial small subunit ribosomal RNA", at positions 523 to 796 of the family's 1533-position model. The record is from RNAcentral.